RNAcentral lists this ribosomal RNA (393 nucleotides) under Triticum aestivum (bread wheat). Its description in RNAcentral is "partial small subunit ribosomal RNA". Lineage: Eukaryota; Viridiplantae; Streptophyta; Magnoliopsida; Poales; Poaceae. The record is from RNAcentral.
AUGGAGACGCCGACGGGUCCUGCGCAGGCAGGCGGCCGCUUCCCCGUGCCGCACAGAUCCCUCUCCUUGGACAUCAAGGGCAACAAGACUGACAUUGUCAUCAGCAGAUACGAGGAUAACUUUCUGGUCAUCGUGACGCAGAUCGGAUGCAUGGGAACCAUAUUAGCUGCUAAGAAAGAUGAAAGUGUUUUCUCUGAUCCAACCUACGAUGUAUCUGUUCUUUUUGGGAAGAGGGAUGAGCCACUCCUGCUAGCUUGUGCACGUCAACUUAUCGAGCAUAUAAGUGGUAGUGGCUCAGCUCGGCCGUUGGUGAUCUCUCUUGGUUUGAAAGAUCAUUCCCAGGGAACAUUGAAAGAUGUAGUUUCUGCCAUUGUUGACAACCGCCUAUGGUGA